This 657-nucleotide ribosomal RNA is filed under the name Colletotrichum acutatum. Its description in RNAcentral is "eukaryotic LSU rRNA". The stretch from base 311 to 464 matches the Rfam family "5.8S ribosomal RNA". The record is from RNAcentral. Lineage: Eukaryota; Fungi; Ascomycota; Sordariomycetes; Glomerellales; Glomerellaceae.
GCCCCCCGGGCCCCGGCCCCGCCGGCCGCGCGCGGCCGGGCGGGGCGGGGGCACGGGGGGCUUGGUCAUUUAGAGGAAGUAAAAGUCGUAACAAGGUCUCCGUUGGUGAACCAGCGGAGGGAUCAUUACUGAGUUACCGCUCUAUAACCCUUUGUGAACAUACCUAACCGUUGCUUCGGCGGGCAGGGGAAGCCUCUCGCGGGCCUCCCCUCCCGGCGCCGGCCCCCACCACGGGGACGGGGCGCCCGCCGGAGGAAACCAAACUCUAUUUACACGACGUCUCUUCUGAGUGGCACAAGCAAAUAAUUAAAACUUUUAACAACGGAUCUCUUGGUUCUGGCAUCGAUGAAGAACGCAGCGAAAUGCGAUAAGUAAUGUGAAUUGCAGAAUUCAGUGAAUCAUCGAAUCUUUGAACGCACAUUGCGCUCGCCAGCAUUCUGGCGAGCAUGCCUGUUCGAGCGUCAUUUCAACCCUCAAGCACCGCUUGGUUUUGGGGCCCCACGGCACACGUGGGCCCUUAAAGGUAGUGGCGGACCCUCCCGGAGCCUCCUUUGCGUAGUAACUAACGUCUCGCACUGGGAUUCGGAGGGACUCUUGCCGUAAAACCCCCCAAUUUUUUUACAGGUUGACCUCGGAUCAGGUAGGAAUCCCCAUUUC